GAAUUUGAUUAACGCUCGUUUAUGACGAGCCUUACGGAAG
Molecule: regulatory RNA element, 40 nt
Organism: Pantoea ananatis LMG 20103
Lineage: Bacteria; Pseudomonadati; Pseudomonadota; Gammaproteobacteria; Enterobacterales; Erwiniaceae
Rfam family: nuoG RNA
Source: Rfam